CCUACGGGUGGCAGCAGUGAGGAAUAUUGGUCAAUGGGCGCGAGCCUGAACCAGCCAAGUAGCGUGAAGGAUGACUGCCCUACGGGUUGUAAACUUCUUUUAUAAAGGAAUAAAGUGAGGCACGUGAGCCUUUUUGUAUGUACUUUAUGAAAAAGGAUCGGCUAACUCAGUGCCAGAAGCCGGGGUAAUACGUAGGAUCCGAGCGUUAUCCGGAUUUAUUGGGUUUAAAGGGAGCGUAGAUGGGUUGUUAAGUCAGUUGGGAAAGUUUGCGGCUAAACCGUAAAAUUGCAAUUGAUACUGGCAGCCUUGAGUACAGUUGAGGUAGGCGGAAUUCGUGGUGUAGCGGUGAAAUGCUUAGAUAUCACGAAGAACUCCGAUUGCGAAGGCAGCUUACUAAACUGCCACUGACAUUGAUGCUCGAAAGUGUGGGUAUCAAACAGGAUUAGAUACCCCAGUAGUC
This 460-nucleotide ribosomal RNA is filed under the name uncultured bacterium. RNAcentral describes it as "partial 16S ribosomal RNA". It matches the Rfam family "Bacterial small subunit ribosomal RNA", at positions 338 to 795 of the family's 1533-position model. The record is from RNAcentral.